UGCGGGGGGAGCAAGCGUUGUUCGGAUUUACUGGGCGUAAAGGGCGCGUAGGCGGCCACCGCAAGUCGACUGUGAAAUCUCCGGGCUUAACCCGGAAAGGUCAGCCGAUACUGCGGGGCUAGAGUGCAGAAGGGGCAACUGGAAUUCUCGGUGUAGCGGUGAAAUGCGUAGAUAUCGAGAGGAACACCUGCGGCGAAGGCGGGUUGCUGGGCUGACACUGACGCUGAGGCGCGAAAGCGUGGGGAGCGAACAGG
This 254-nucleotide ribosomal RNA is filed under the name uncultured bacterium. RNAcentral describes it as "partial 16S ribosomal RNA". It matches the Rfam family "Bacterial small subunit ribosomal RNA", at positions 524 to 776 of the family's 1533-position model. The record is from RNAcentral.